RNAcentral lists this ribosomal RNA (113 nucleotides) under Pseudomonas umsongensis. The record is from RNAcentral. Lineage: Bacteria; Pseudomonadati; Pseudomonadota; Gammaproteobacteria; Pseudomonadales; Pseudomonadaceae.
CUUGACGACCAUAGAGCGUACACACCUGAUCCCAUCCCGAACUCAGAAGUGAAACGAUGCAUCGCCGAUGGUAGUGUGGGGUUUCCCCAUGUGAGAGUAGGUCAUCGUCAAGA